AGAGCGAACGCUGGCGGCAGGCCUAACACAUGCAAGUCGAGCGCGUGUAGCAAUACACGAGCGGCAGACGGGAGAGUAACACGUGGGAACGCGCCCUUCGGUUCGGAAUAACUCAGGGAAACUUGAGCUAAUACCGGAUACGCCCUUACGGGGAAAGAUUUAUUGCCGAAGGAACGGCCCGCGUCCGAUUAGCUAGUUGGUGAGGUAACGGCUCACCAAGGCGACGAUCGGUAGCUGGUCUGAGAGGAUGACCAGCCUCACUGGGACUGAGACACGGCCCAGACUCCUACGGGAGGCAGCAGUGGGGAAUAUUGGACAAUGGGCGCAAGCCUGAUCCAGCCAUGCCGCGUGGAUGAUGAAGGCCUUAGGGUUGUAAAGUCCUUUUAACGGGGAAGAUAAUGACGGUACCCGUAGAAUAAGCCCCGGCUAACUUCGCGCCAGCCAGCCGC
RNAcentral lists this ribosomal RNA (449 nucleotides) under uncultured bacterium. RNAcentral's name for it is "SSU rRNA". It matches the Rfam family "Bacterial small subunit ribosomal RNA", at positions 26 to 518 of the family's 1533-position model. The record is from RNAcentral.